Molecule: long non-coding RNA, 2860 nt
Organism: Daucus carota subsp. sativus
Lineage: Eukaryota; Viridiplantae; Streptophyta; Magnoliopsida; Apiales; Apiaceae
Exons: 9
Source: RefSeq, a predicted model, not a curated record
UAGUACCUUUUUCUCGGAUAAUUCAUUAUCAAUAUAAUCUAAAUUCCUGCUAACAUAACUACCCAUUAUUCAUGUCUAAUAUUGUCUUUUUCCACUUAUUUGGGUUGAUCCAUUUAGCAUGGAUAUUACCCGUUAGAUACAGUGGCUUCUUGCGCUUCAGUUAUGGACCGGUUAUCAUCUUAUUGUCAGCGGUUAAUGAAAAUUCAAAUUUAUCUUGCCUCUUCUGAAACUGUAAGAACCGUGAUUUGCGUUGCCCACCACAAUCCAUUCGUUCUUCUCCAAACUGCGUUCUCGACUGGCCCGAGAGAUGGAUGCAUCAGCGUCUGCGCGGAUACCGCCCAAGAAACUUGCACCUGUUGAAAGAGUGUUCCCUGUGCAUUCCGUGUCUACCAUUCAUGACUCUGGAAUAAGCAACAACGAAAAUUCAAACCCCAAUAUCAUCUCUACUCCUUCCACUGGCAGAGACUAUCCUAAAUCUUCUGCCUUCCGCGAACCGGGGUAAUGCAGUCCGUCGUACACCAACCACUGGUUCAGCUGGUUUUCACUUUGUCCGCAAUUGUUUAUGGGCAACCUGAAAAUAUCACAUCAGUCGAGGAUUUUGAGCUGAAAGCUAUGAACCUGUAUGAGCUCACUAAGGAAGGGUUUUCAAGAUCUAUUCACAUACUUUCUCAUCGUGGUCAGAGCAUUUGUUGUUAUCCAGUGUUGUAUGUGUAGAAGAAAGGAUCAAUGAUACAUAUGAGGACUAUAUACACUAAAGACCUGCUUCGUAUAGUGACAGAAGUUUGUGGAUGCUGAGGAUCAGGUAAUCCGCAUAUGCUUAUUUAUGUAUGAAAUUUCAGAGAUUGAUUAUGACAUUUCAGAGACAAAGCAACAUGUACAUUUUACAAUAUAAGCAUGAUUUAAUAUGACACUGAUAGUAGUGCUCCUUUUUGCUUAAAAGACUGAACUAAUCCAACUGCUUAUAUAUACUUCUAUAUUGCUAAAUGGGUUUGGGACUUGGGAGUAUUAAGAAGUAGUUUUGUUGUGUGUUGGGUAUAGUAAAAACCUUUUAAAUUUGUAGAAACACAAGUAUAUAUACUAGAUUUGGAGGGCUUGGUCUUGGAAUUAUGAUUAUGAUUGGUAAAGAGUUGUUAAAUGGAUAGAAGGCAUUGUUAAAUUUAGUGUUAAAAUGCAGUCUUGGCUAUAUUCGAGCAAAAGAAAGAAAUACAGGAGGAUUCUCACACAGUUAUAAUACAUAUUGGUAAAAUUUGGUACUCCUUAUAUGUGGACAGGUUGGGAGCAGGUUGUGGACACAGGUGCGAAUUCUAUUGGAUGAGAAAAAUUAUUGCUAAUAUGUCAUUUAAAAAACUUUAACGGGAGAAGUCGGAGGCCAUGCGGCUUGAUAAGCAAUAUGAAUAACAAAAAUUCACCUUAUGUAUGGUGCUUAUGGAUAUAUUUUUUAGCUUAAAAUCUUUGAUUAUUGGUUGGACAAAUUAAUAUGGGUAUAAUAAUUGUUGUAUUUUGUUAGUAGUUAUUUGACACAACUAAGUAAGUCCAUGGUUUUAAACUUUCUCAUGCUCAUGAGUAUUUAUGUUAAAGUAUUUUGGUAUUAGUGAAGCAAGCACAAUGGAUGAACCAUAUUAAUCUGUUAUUUAAUUUUGUGUCAUGACCAUCUGUAGAAUAUUCGUUAAAUGCUCCAUUUAGAUCAAAAUAUGGCAACUUUAAUACAUCUUAUCCAAGUCUUAUUUUAUCGAAAUCAAAUAUGUUUGAAUGUUGCAUAGAAAACAGUUUCAGGAUUUUGGAAGAUCAGAAAUGGAAGGAUCAGGUUAUGAACUUCAUUUUUAGGCUUAGAACUAUGAUUCAAUCUAAUUGAACCGGUUGUUGUUUGAGACAGGAAGUUGCUGCAGGGGAACUGUGCUAGGUGGCAAAGAUUUAAUUUUUUCAGGAACUUCAACAACCAUGAAGCAGGUUAUUCACUGUAAAGUUGUGAGUCAACAUCAUGCAUCAGGUAAUGCCAUUUUCUAAUGCUUAGUUUAUAUCCAUGCUUAGUUUAUAACAAUGAUCCUUUCCAGAUUUAUUAAUUUAGCAUGUGAACAUCUCCCAUAUAUUAAUGACAGUUAUAAGCAAACAAAAUUGUGAACCAUGGACACUUUUUUCUGCCAAAACAGUUGAUGACUUUAAUCAUCUGUCUAUAACAGCUGUUAGUUAUUAUAGGAUCAAAUUAUGUUAUAUACUUACUGCCAGGACAAAGCUCCCGGUUAGUACACCAUCUGAUCUUCAGUACAAUAAGCCUGGAAGUGUUGGCCGUGCAUCAGACAUGAAGUAUUGCCCAACUCAAGCAAGGUUGUAAGGAAUUGGCUUCAUUGAAUUUGUUUGCUAUAAUAACACAGAGACUUGAUGAGGAGGGUAAUGUAUGCAGCAGUUCAGAUAGUCCAUUGAUAUAUCUGUAUGGGGCUAAGGAUUCCACCUAAAUUGAUCAUCUGGACACCAAGGACUCAAAUCCGUGCUUUCUUGGUCUAACAGUGUUCGAGAGACUUAAUGAAUCCUACCUAAGUGAUCAUGAUUACCAACAUAUAACUCAAUCUAAGUACACUCCUAUGACCAGAGAAAAUCAGAAUCAGGACGGCAUGUCAAUGAAGGUGAGGAAGCUGACAAUCAGGACGGCAUGUCAAUGAAGGGAUGCUACACCUCUUGCAAGCGUGCGACCGACUAAUGUGAACCAAAGAGUGUUGCUGAUAUACAAUAAAGUUGGAUGGAAAAUAUGUCAGGCCUCUAAUUAGGAAUAUACACUGGUUUUUUAUUUAAAUUUUUGUACAAAUUUUGUUGCAUGGUUGUAUGAAAUCAAUUUUCAGAGUAUAACAAUUUAAUAUAAAUGUUAGUA